GAUGAACGCUGGCGGCGUGCUUAACACAUGCAAGUCGAACGAAGCAUUUAAGACAGAUUACUUCGGUUUGAAGUCUUUUAUGACUGAGUGGCGGAAGGGUGAGUAACUCGUGGGUAACCUGCCCCCUACAGGGGGAUAGCAGCUGGAAACGGCUGGUAAUACCGCAUAAGCGCACAGUAACACAUGGUACUGUGCGUAAAACUCCGUUGGUCGGAGAUGGUCCCGAGUCUGGUUAGCGUGUUGCAGGGGUAAGGGCCCACGAAGGCGAGGAGCAGUAGCCGGCCUGAGAGGGGGCCCGGCGACAGUGGGACUGGGACACGGCCCAGACGCCUACGAGAGGCAGCAAUGGGUAAUAUUGCACAAUGGAGGAGACUCUGAUGCAGCGACGCCGCGUGAGUGAAGAAGUGGUUCUAUAUGUAAAGCUCUAGGAGAAGAGAAGAUAGUGACGGUACCUGAAGAAGAAGCGCCGGCUAAAUACGUG
This 481-nucleotide ribosomal RNA is filed under the name uncultured bacterium. RNAcentral's name for it is "partial 16S ribosomal RNA". It matches the Rfam family "Bacterial small subunit ribosomal RNA", at positions 28 to 507 of the family's 1533-position model. The record is from RNAcentral.